This 251-nucleotide ribosomal RNA is filed under the name uncultured prokaryote. Its description in RNAcentral is "partial 16S rRNA". It matches the Rfam family "Bacterial small subunit ribosomal RNA", at positions 525 to 807 of the family's 1533-position model. The record is from RNAcentral.
ACGGGGGGUGCGAGCGUUGUUCGGAAUUAUUGGGCGUAAAGAGCGUGUAGGCGGCUGAAUAAGUCAGAUGUGAAAUCCCUGGGCUUAACCCAGGACGUGCAUUUGAAACUAUUCGGCUAGAGUAGGGGAGAGGAAAGUGGAAUUCCUGGUGGGCGAUUUUCAGGCCCAAGACUGAGGAGGAGCCGCGAUGGUGUGGGUAGCAAACUGGAUUAUUUCUCAUUCUAGGCCGCCAGAUUGUCUAUAACAUACAU